CCCUUUGGGUGUGACUGCGUACCUUUUGUAUAAUGGGUCAGCGACUUAUAUUCUGUAGCAAGGUUAACCGAAUAGGGGAGCCGGAGGGAAACCGAGUCUUAACCGGGCGUUAAGUUGCAGGGUAUAGACCCGAAACCCGGUGAUCUAGCCAUGGGCAGGUUGAAGGUUGGGUAACACUAACUGGAGGACCGAACCGACUAAUGUUGAAAAAUUAGCGGAUGACCUGUGGCUGGGGGUGAAAGGCCAAUCAAACCGGGAGAUAGCUGGUUCUCCCCGAAAGCUAUUUAGGUAGCGCCUCGUGAAUUCAUCUCCGGGGGUAGAGCACUGUUUCGGCUAGGGGGCCAUCCCGGCUUACCAACCCGAUGCAAACUGCGAAUACCGGAGAAUGUUAUCACGGGAGACACACGGCGGGUGCUAACGUCCGUCGUGAAGAGGGAAACAACCCAGACCGCCAGCUAAGGUCCCAAAGUCAUGGUUAAGUGGGAAACGAUGUGGGAAGGCCCAGACAGCCAGGAUGUUGGCUUAGAAGCAGCCAUCAUUUAAAGAAAGCGUAAUAGCUCACUGGUCGAGUCGGCCUGCGCGGAAGAUGUAACGGGGCUAAACCAUGCACCGAAGCUGCGGCAGCGACACUGUGUGUUGUUGGGUAGGGGAGCGUUCUGUAAGCCUGUGAAGGUGUGUCGUGAGGCAUGCUGGAGGUAUCAGAAGUGCGAAUGCUGACAUAAGUAACGAUAAAGCGGGUGAAAAGCCCGCUCGCCGGAAGACCAAGGGUUCCUGUCCAACGUUAAUCGGGGCAGGGUGAGUCGACCCCUAAGGCGAGGCCGAAAGGCGUAGUCGAUGGGAAACGGGUUAAUAUUCCCGUACUUGGUGUUACUGCGAAGGGGGGACGGAGAAGGCUAUGUUGGCCGGGCGACGGUUGUCCCGGUUUAAGCGUGUAGGUGUGUGUUCCAGGUAAAUCCGGUUCACUUUAACACUGAGGCGUGACGACGAGGCACUACGGUGCUGAAGCAACAAAUGCCCUGCUUCCAGGAAAAGCCUCUAAGCAUCAGGUAACAUCAAAUCGUACCCCAAACCGACACAGGUGGUCAGGUAGAGAAUACCAAGGCGCUUGAGAGAACUCGGGUGAAGGAACUAGGCAAAAUGGUGCCGUAACUUCGGGAGAAGGCACGCUGACACGUAGGUGAAGUGAUUUACUCAUGGAGCUGAAGUCAGUCGAAGAUACCAGCUGGCUGCAACUGUUUAUUAAAAACACAGCACUGUGCAAACACGAAAGUGGACGUAUACGGUGUGACGCCUGCCCGGUGCCGGAAGGUUAAUUGAUGGGGUCAGCGCAAGCGAAGCUCCUGAUCGAAGCCCCGGUAAACGGCGGCCGUAACUAUAACGGUCCUAAGGUAGCGAAAUUCCUUGUCGGGUAAGUUCCGACCUGCACGAAUGGCGUAAUGAUGGCCAGGCUGUCUCCACCCGAGACUCAGUGAAAUUGAACUCGCUGUGAAGAUGCAGUGUACCCGCGGCAAGACGGAAAGACCCCGUGAACCUUUACUAUAGCUUGACACUGAACAUUGAGCCUUGAUGUGUAGGAUAGGUGGGAGGCUUUGAAGUGUGGACGCCAGUCUGCAUGGAGCCGACCUUGAAAUACCACCCUUUAAUGUUUGAUGUUCUAACGUGGACCCGUUACCCGGGUUGCGGACAGUGUCUGGUGGGUAGUUUGACUGGGGCGGUCUCCUCCUAAAGAGUAACGGAGGAGCACGAAGGUUGGCUAAUCCUGGUCGGACAUCAGGAGGUUAGUGCAAUGGCAUAAGCCAGCUUGACUGCGAGCGUGACGGCGCGAGCAGGUGCGAAAGCAGGUCAUAGUGAUCCGGUGGUUCUGAAUGGAAGGGCCAUCGCUCAACGGAUAAAAGGUACUCCGGGGAUAACAGGCUGAUACCGCCCAAGAGUUCAUAUCGACGGCGGUGUUUGGCACCUCGAUGUCGGCUCAUCACAUCCUGGGGCUGAAGUAGGUCCCAAGGGUAUGGCUGUUCGCCAUUUAAAGUGGUACGCGAGCUGGGUUUAGAACGUCGUGAGACAGUUCGGUCCCUAUCUGCCGUGGGCGCUGGAGAACUGAGGGGGGCUGCUCCUAGUACGAGAGGACCGGAGUGGACGCAUCACUGGUGUUCGGGUUGUCAUGCCAAUGGCACUGCCCGGUAGCUAAAUGCGGAAGAGAUAAGUGCUGAAAGCAUCUAAGCACGAAACUUGCCCCGAGAUGAGUUCUCCCUGAGACUUAGAGUCUCCUGAAGGAACGUUGAAGACGACGACGUUGAUAGGCCGGGUGUGUAAGCGCAGCGAUGCGUUGAGCUAACCGGU
This 2337-nucleotide ribosomal RNA is filed under the name Salmonella enterica subsp. enterica serovar Enteritidis. RNAcentral describes it as "partial 23S ribosomal RNA". It matches the Rfam family "Bacterial large subunit ribosomal RNA", at positions 582 to 2899 of the family's 2925-position model. The record is from RNAcentral. Lineage: Bacteria; Pseudomonadati; Pseudomonadota; Gammaproteobacteria; Enterobacterales; Enterobacteriaceae.